RNAcentral lists this ribosomal RNA (301 nucleotides) under uncultured bacterium. Its description in RNAcentral is "partial 16S ribosomal RNA". It matches the Rfam family "Bacterial small subunit ribosomal RNA", at positions 509 to 807 of the family's 1533-position model. The record is from RNAcentral.
CAGCAGCCACGGGAACACAGAGGGUGCGAGCGUUAAUCGGAUUUACUGGGCGUAAAGCGUGCGUAGGCGGCUUUUUAAGUCGGAUGUGAAAUCCCUGAGCUUAACUUAGGAAUUGCAUUCGAUACUGGGAAGCUAGAGUAUGGGAGAGGAUGGUAGAAUUCCAGGUGUAGCGGUGAAAUGCGUAGAGAUCUGGAGGAAUACCGAUGGCGAAGGCAGCCAUCUGGCCUAAUACUGACGCUGAGGUACGAAAGCAUGGGGAGCAAACAGGAUUAGAUACCCCUGUAGUCCCUGUCUCUUAUAC